AUUGAACGCUGGCGGCAUGCUUUACACAUGCCAGUCGAACGGCAGCGCGGGCUUCGGCCUGGCGGCGAGUGGCGAACGGGUGAGUAAUGCAUCGGAACGUGCCCAGUAGUGGGGGAUAGCCCGGCGAAAGCCGGAUUAAUACCGCAUACGACCUGAGGGUGAAAGCGGGGGACCGAAAGGCCUCGCGCUAUUGGAGCGGCCGAUGUCGGAUUAGCUAGUUGGUGGGGUAAAGGCUUACCAAGGCGACGAUCCGUAGCUGGUCUGAGAGGACGACCAGCCACACUGGGACUGAGACACGGCCCAGAUUCCUACGGGAGGCAGCAGUGGGGAAUUUUGGACAAUGGGGGCAACCCUGAUCCAGCCAUGCCGCGUGCGGGAAGAAGGCCUUCGGGUUGUAAACCGCUUUUGUUCGGGAAGAAAUCCUCUGGGCUAAUACCCCGGGGGGAUGACGGUACCGGAAGAAUAAGCACCGGCUAACUACGUG
This 484-nucleotide ribosomal RNA is filed under the name uncultured bacterium. RNAcentral's name for it is "partial 16S ribosomal RNA". It matches the Rfam family "Bacterial small subunit ribosomal RNA", at positions 28 to 507 of the family's 1533-position model. The record is from RNAcentral.